This 56-nucleotide transfer RNA is filed under the name Ovis aries (sheep). It matches the Rfam family "tRNA", at positions 8 to 63 of the family's 71-position model. Rfam says of the family: Transfer RNA (tRNA) molecules are approximately 80 nucleotides in length. Their secondary structure includes four short double-helical elements and three loops (D, anti-codon, and T loops). Lineage: Eukaryota; Metazoa; Chordata; Mammalia; Artiodactyla; Bovidae. The record is from Rfam by way of RNAcentral.
UGGCUCAGACGGUAAAGCGUCUGCCUACAGUGCAGGAGACCUGGGUUCAAUCCCAG